UCUGCUGCCACCAUGUGGUGAGGGAGCCUGGGAGAGUCUUAGUCUUUCUUGGCUUCACUUUCCUCCUCAGUGAGUUAGGGGCUUAUUGUUCCUCUCUGAGGUCCCUUCCUACUUUGUUUUCUCUGAGUCUCUGAGGAACUGAGAUGGUUUUUAAUGCCACCCAGGACCUGCAGCUGAGACCUGACUCUGUGUGUCUCCUGCAGGAGCCUGAGCUGAGUCCCUACACUGGAAGCCCAGAACUGAGGGAACAGAUGAAAGAAAGAAAGUCAGCAGGUUUAGGGGAUGAGAACAACCCACAAAGGACAAGCCAUUGAGACGGAUCCUGGGGCAUGAAUGGUGUAAGGCAAGGGCCAGUCUAAG
This 360-nucleotide long non-coding RNA is filed under the name Homo sapiens (human). Its description in RNAcentral is "LNC_000346". The record is from RNAcentral. Lineage: Eukaryota; Metazoa; Chordata; Mammalia; Primates; Hominidae.